Molecule: long non-coding RNA, 529 nt
Filed under: Hordeum vulgare
Lineage: Eukaryota; Viridiplantae; Streptophyta; Magnoliopsida; Poales; Poaceae
Description: long non-coding RNA (HVUL_LNC004982)
Source: RNAcentral
UUUAUUUACUUGUUCUUUAUUACCUUGCAAACCUUUCUAUCACACCCACUAAGUACUUCUAGUUUCCUUCCCGCAAAGUAGUUUCAUACUUGUUCUAGGUAAAGUAAGCAUUAGCAUGCGUAGAGUUGUACGAGUGGUCGAUGGAACUUGAGAGAACAUUAACUCUACCUUUAGCUCCUCGUUGGGUUUGACUCUUAAUUAUCAAAAAAGGCUACAAACGAUCCCCUAUACUUGUGGGUAAUUACAUGGCACAGUUUUUCACCCUCAGAGGUAGGGACCAAGGUGGCGCCCCAAGAGGAUCACACCACCCACAUGCAUUGUCGUUGUCGGCGCUGAUGCGCAAAGCUUUCGCUCGAACUCAUCUCCAUCGUGCCAUGUGAGCACACCACUAGCCCUCCACAACGAGGUCCUCACCAUGAUGGAACGGGGGACAUCAUGUCCAAAUUAGGGCUUGGCCACCACCAACGGCGACAACUUUGCCAAGAUAACUGACCACAACGCACAUCGCCACCCGCAUACCCAAGCACAC